CAGUCGCCGCGGUAACACCGAGGGUGCGAGCGUUAAUCGGAUUUACUGGGCGUAAAGCGUGCGUAGGCGGCUUCUUAAGUCGGAUGUGAAAUCCCUGAGCUUAACUUAGGAAUUGCAUUCGAUACUGGGAAGCUAGAGUAUGGGAGAGGAUGGUAGAAUUCCAGGUGUAGCGGUGAAAUGCGUAGAGAUCUGGAGGAAUACCGAUGGCGAAGGCAGCCAUCUGGCCUAAUACUGACGCUGAGGUACGAAAGCAUGGGGAGCAAACAGGAUUAGAGACCCCCGUAGUCCCUGUCUCUUAUAC
RNAcentral lists this ribosomal RNA (301 nucleotides) under uncultured bacterium. RNAcentral describes it as "partial 16S ribosomal RNA". It matches the Rfam family "Bacterial small subunit ribosomal RNA", at positions 509 to 807 of the family's 1533-position model. The record is from RNAcentral.